This 3211-nucleotide long non-coding RNA is filed under the name Sus scrofa (pig). RNAcentral's name for it is "lncRNA (ENSSSCG00000054852.1)". The record is from RNAcentral. Lineage: Eukaryota; Metazoa; Chordata; Mammalia; Artiodactyla; Suidae.
UUAUCUUGCAUCCCUUUCAUAUUUCUCUCAUCCACUCUUCCUAUUUUCAGAAGUUAUUAUUUCAAUCUCAAAUGUUCUAUCUUAUUUAUCUAACUAGUUUAUAUGUUGCUGUGAAGUGAACUGUAAAUUACAUAAAACGUGAAGUAGAAAAAUAGAAAGUGAUAGUUCUAGUUAGAAUUUAAGAUUUUCAUGAAGUAUUUGUUAAAGAACUACCUUGGUGAGAAAUAUGACAGAGAUAAUUUGCCAUUCUCAUCACAACAUAUCAAAGAUACAUGCUGUCAACAUAACUUAUUCUUGAAGUUAAUUUUGAUCACCUGAAGUAUGGUUUGUCCAGUUUCUCCUUUGUGAAGUUACUCUCCUUCUCCUGAUGUACCCUUUAGAAUUAUGUCAGUAUGUGCAGCUCAUACUGCAGGAAUGGGGAAAUAUGUUCCAACUUCCUGAGGAUGCAGUCUCUACAUAAAUAAUGGGAGAUCCUCCUGUGAGGGAGAUUUGUCUAUUCUUCCCCAUUUAUUUAUGUAUUUGAUAUCAAUCUGGAGACAGAUAUUUUAUGCAUUGGUUUAUCAUCUGAUAUUAUAUAUAUGUUGCUGAAAUCAUUUCAGCUUUGGCCCUUGGAAGCUCUUUUGGUUAGUUCCUCUUUUCCUUUGACAUGUAGUAUAUGUGUGCUUGGUGAUGCAUGUGCACAUGCAGAAGGCAUAGGAGAGAUUCUUGGCCACUCCUGGCGUCAGGUAGAAAAAUUGCAAGCCUUGUGAUGAAGAGGCUAUUUGCCACAGGUGGUGUCCUGUCAAUUUUCUUCUGUGACAAUGUAUGCAUGUUUUGAGCACUGUCUUUACUUUCUGGCACUACAGAGUGCCCCAGGCUCAUGUGUAUAUUUCCACCCCUGGUCCUCGAAUCAGUUAUUUCCUCUUUAAUUAGAGAAUGGUAUUAGAAGCAAACAUCUGGGUGUCAAUCUAUUUUAAAUGUAAUGUAUUUUAAGAGAUUUCAUAAAACCAUUUGAGCUAAAUUUGGAAAAGUUAGUAUAAGUAUUCUUUAAAAAUAAAACAAAACCUUGCAUGUUUUCCCCCUAGACUAGCAUGCAUUUCAGAAUGUUUAAAGACAAAAUGGAAUAAACACACAUAGCAAUGUUUCCAAAUUUACUUGUUAGAUUUAUCGGAAUUGAUGGUAAGUAUUUAACUUGGACUAGAAAUUAUUCCACUGAUAUGACUAACUGAUAGAUGUUCUAAUUAAAAAGUAAAUUAGGCCAGAAAUAGCAAGCACUGUGAAGAGCAUGUAUAUUCUGCCUGAUAACAUUUUUGUCAUCUUAAAGGAACUGAAGAAAUGAGAUGAUAAUUAUUAUUGUUGCCUUAAGUAUUAAAUACUCAUCUUUUAAACCCAGGCUUAGUAGCUUGAAAGAGAACUGUGUUUAUUUACCAUCAAAAGGAGGUAUGGAGAGAAAUUAAUUAAAACAUUAUCUUACUGGAUACAGAUUUCAAGCUUUUUCAUCAGAGAUGCUGGCUAUAAGUUAUAAUUGUAUUUUGCCAUUCAUUAUAAAAAGGUCAACAUUUAUCUAUGGUCCCUCAGAGAUGCAUAUUAAAGUCCACUUAGUGAUAAAUAAAACAAUUUUUAUAACUAUUUUUAAGUCAGAUGCUUAGACGAAUUUGGUGAAUUCGAUCAGGACAGCAGAUUUUAUUAGAGAAAAAGAGCACUGUUAUGUGAAGCUCACCUAGUAGAUGAUUUUAAAUGACAUUGUACACCCUGAGUUUCUAUUUAAAAAGAAAUAGUAAGGACAUUGCAUUUGAAAUACUUUUAGAAACAUCCCCUAUUCAUGGUCAAUUAUUAUUUAGUCUAUUUUUAAGAAGCUUUAUAUUCUAACCAGAAAACAUCACUAGAGCUUAGACCACUACUCUUUACACCACUUCCUCAGUGGGUAGAAUAAUAUCAAUAGGCAGCAGCCUUUUCUAGCACAGGCAUUCCACCCCCAGUUUAAGUGAGAGCUGUGUGUAUCUUGGCAAGGGGUGGUGGAUCCAGGUGUUUGGAGUCUGAAUUUAUAUAAUCUGAGAGUCCCUCUUAAAAAAGAACACAAAAUUAUUAAUAAAAAAUGAAGUGCAGGGCCUUGGAAGAAGGAGGAAGCUCUGAAGUUUCAGCUUCAUUGACCUUAAGAUAAACUACCUCUCUAAGCAAGAGGACAAGGAUUGUUCUGUUACCUGCACUACCUAUUUGACUGUUCUGAAGGAUGUAAAUCAGAAUCAGUUCAUACUAAACUUGAAAUGAUACCUUCUGCCUCUUUCUUCUUUCCUUCCCUUCCUUCCUUUCUUCCACACCUAAUUAUGUUUCAGGCACUGUGACCUGCAGUGAGAAUCAAUGGUAUACAAAGCCAGACCCAGACCCUAAGGUUGGAGAAUUUACACUCCAGUCUAUGAGCCUGUCUCCUCUGCUAGACAGUGGAGCUUCACAAAAGCUGGAUUAUAGCUCCAUCCAUCUUUGCUCACCACUUUGUCCUAAGGCCUGGAACUUUUUAAAAACAUUUUUAGUGUUUUAAACAUAUUUAAUAUUCUUUUUAAAAACAGCUUUAAUGAGGAGUUCCUGUCGUGGCUCAGUGGUUAACGAAUCUGACUAGGAACCAUGAGGUUGCGGGUUCGACCCCUGCCCUUGCUCAGUGGGUUAAGGAUCCGGUUUGAUCCCUAGCCUGGGAACCUCCAUAUGCUGUGGGAGCAGCCCAAGAAAUGGCAAAAAGACAAAAAAAAAAAAGCUUUAAUGAAAUAUAAUUGAUAUGCAAAAAACCUGCAUAUAUUUAAUAUGUACAAUUUGAAGAGUUUGGACAUAAAUGCAUAUACCCAUGAAAUCAUCAUCACAAUCAAAUCCUAUCCCUAUCCAUUACCUCCAAACAUUUCUUCAUGCCUUUUUGUUCUGUUUUUGUGGUAAGGACUCUCAACUUGAGGUCUACCCUCUUAAAAAUGUUUUAGUGCACAGUAUAGUAUUGUGAACUACAAGCACUAUAUUCUAUAGCAGAUCUCUGAAACUUAUUCAUCUUAUGUAAGUGAAACUCAUACCCAUUGAACAACUUCCUUUUUCUUGCCCCUCCAGCCCCUGGCAAUCACCAUGUCACUCUCUGCUUCUAUGAAUUUAACUACUUUAGAUACCUGGUGUAAGUAAUGGCUUUCUUUGCUGUGCAGAAACUUUCUAUUUUGAUGUAGUCCCACUUGUAUCUUUUUGCUUUUGUUGCCUUUGUUUUUGU